RNAcentral lists this ribosomal RNA (479 nucleotides) under Rhodotorula mucilaginosa. RNAcentral's name for it is "eukaryotic LSU rRNA". It matches the Rfam family "Eukaryotic large subunit ribosomal RNA", at positions 96 to 571 of the family's 3401-position model. Lineage: Eukaryota; Fungi; Basidiomycota; Microbotryomycetes; Sporidiobolales; Sporidiobolaceae. The record is from RNAcentral.
AAGCGGGAAGAGCUCAAAUUUAUAAUCUGGCACCUUCGGUGUCCGAGUUGUAAUCUCUAGAAAUGUUUUCCGCGUUGGACCGCACACAAGUCUGUUGGAAUACAGCGGCAUAGUGGUGAGACCCCCGUAUAUGGUGCGGACGCCCAGCGCUUUGUGAUACAUUUUCGAAGAGUCGAGUUGUUUGGGAAUGCAGCUCAAAUUGGGUGGUAAAUUCCAUCUAAAGCUAAAUAUUGGCGAGAGACCGAUAGCGAACAAGUACCGUGAGGGAAAGAUGAAAAGCACUUUGGAAAGAGAGUUAACAGUACGUGAAAUUGUUGGAAGGGAAACGCUUGAAGUCAGACUUGCUUGCCGAGCAAUCGGUUUGCAGGCCAGCAUCAGUUUUCCGGGAUGGAUAAUGGUAGAGAGAAGGUAGCAGUUUCGGCUGUGUUAUAGCUCUCUGCUGGAUACAUCUUGGGGGACUGAGGAACGCAGUGUGCCUU